ACGGCUCUGGCGGGGAUUCCGGUGGCGGCGGUGGAGCGGCUGCGGCUGCGGCUGGUCGACGCGGAGCGGGCGUCCGACCCGCACGAGCCGCCC
This 93-nucleotide transfer RNA is filed under the name Streptomyces lomondensis. Its description in RNAcentral is "tRNA-Ser". Lineage: Bacteria; Bacillati; Actinomycetota; Actinomycetes; Kitasatosporales; Streptomycetaceae. The record is from RNAcentral.